UGAGAACAGCCUGCUUCCAGAGUGCCC
RNAcentral lists this non-coding RNA (27 nucleotides) under Homo sapiens (human). The record is from RNAcentral. Lineage: Eukaryota; Metazoa; Chordata; Mammalia; Primates; Hominidae.